UUUUUUAUUUUAAUUAAACAUAAAACAAUAAUUGUAGCUUUUAAUGUAGUACAACAUUUUUAAUAUUUAACUUUAACUAAAGUCAGAAAACAUAAUUCUAUUUUAUAACAUAUUUCAUUUUAUUAUUAGUUUUUAAAACAGGCGUACAUACAUCCGCAUGUAUAUUUAUAAACCAAUAUAUGUAAAUGUACAAUGGUAAAAAACUGUUAUAUGGACAAAAAAAAAAAAAAGAAAAUAGCUACAAGUGUUAGUAUGAUAAUUAUCAUGUUCUGAACAAAAUAAAAUGUUUGAAAAAAUGUUUAAAAAAAUGUUUAAAAAAUUGUUUAAAAAAUUGUUUAAAAAAUUGUUUAAAAAUUUGUUUAAAAUUAUUUAAAAAAUUGUUUAAAAUAAUGUGAUAUAUUAUUUGUGGUUGUUUACAGCUCCUCCUGACAGUCUCCACCUAUUUACGCCUAUUAUCAGUUGAUCACAUUUUUUUUGUUUUUUUUUUUUUUUUUUUGUUUUUUUUUCUUUUUUUUUGUUUUUUUUGUUUUUUUUGUUUUUUGAAAUUAUUAACACAUAAAAAUAGCUAAUUUAUAAGGUUAAAAUAUAUUCAUAGCAAAUUUACAUAAAAGGAACAAAAAAAAAAAAAAAAAAAAAAAAGGUAGCAAUGUAUACAUACAUCCAUAAAGUUCAUAUGGAGACAAUACUAAAAUAUGUUAUAUAGUUAAGAGUAAACAAAUAUAUUUAAAAAAAAACAAACAAGCAGUCAUAUGUUGACAUAUAAAAAAACAAGUAGUAAAGUAACAAUGAUGUAAUCAUUAUUUCGUUUAUAAUAAUUAUAUAUGCAUUCAACGUAGGAAUGUUUUUUUUUUUUUUUUUUUUUUUUUUUUUUUUAUUUUUUUUUUUUUUUUUUUUUCUCCCUCUUAUAAACUUUUUUUUUAUAAAGUUUUUAAUACAUAAAUUAAUGUAUAUAUAUUUAUGUACAUAUGCGCAGUAUAUAUACAUAUAUAUAUAGGUGUAUAUAUAUAUUUUUAUUUUUUUAUUUUUUUUUUUUUUAUUUUAUUUUUUUAGUUAAUUAUUUUUUUUUUUUUUCAAAAUGAGUUAUAAGAAAAUAUUACAAUAUUAUUUUUUUUUAACAGUUUUAACGUUCGCAUACGAGCUUAUUAAUAAAAAUCUCACUGACUGCA
This 1166-nucleotide long non-coding RNA is filed under the name Piliocolobus tephrosceles (Ugandan red Colobus). Its description in RNAcentral is "lncRNA (ENSPTEG00000021083.1)". The record is from RNAcentral. Lineage: Eukaryota; Metazoa; Chordata; Mammalia; Primates; Cercopithecidae.